GAUGAACGCUGGCGGCGUGCCUAAUACAUGCAAGUCGAGCGAACGGACGAGAAGCUUGCUUCUCUGAUGUUAGCGGCGGACGGGUGAGUAACACGUGGAUAACCUACCUAUAAGACUGGGAUAACUUCGGGAAACCGUAGCUAAUACCGGAUAAUAUUUUGAACCGCAUGGUUCAAAAGUGAAAGACGGUCUUGCUGUCACUUAUAGAUGGAUCCGCGCUGCAUUAGCUAGUUGGUAAGGUAACGGCUUACCAAGGCAACGAUGCAUAGCCGACCUGAGAGGGUGAUCGGCCACACUGGAACUGAGACACGGUCCAGACUCCUACGGGAGGCAGCAGUAGGGAAUCUUCCGCAAUGGGCGAAAGCCUGACGGAGCAACGCCGCGUGUGUGAUGAAGGUCUUCGGAUCGUAAAACUCUGUUAUUAGGGAAGAACAUAUGUGUAAGUAACUGUGCACAUCUUGACGGUACCUAAUCAGAAAGCCACGGCUAACUACGUG
Molecule: ribosomal RNA, 497 nt
Filed under: uncultured bacterium
Lineage: Bacteria
Description: partial 16S ribosomal RNA
Rfam family: Bacterial small subunit ribosomal RNA
Source: RNAcentral